GCGCCAGCGAGAGAGCGUUGCCGCAGGCAACGACCCGAAGGGCGAAGCGCGCAGCGCUGAGUAAUCCUUCCCCCACCACCA
This 81-nucleotide small RNA is filed under the name Escherichia coli. RNAcentral's name for it is "partial RtT sRNA". It matches the Rfam family "RtT RNA", at positions 52 to 130 of the family's 130-position model. From Rfam's summary of the family: This family represents a bacterial cis-regulatory element known as RtT RNA. Lineage: Bacteria; Pseudomonadati; Pseudomonadota; Gammaproteobacteria; Enterobacterales; Enterobacteriaceae. RNAcentral also lists the same sequence under 2 other names. The record is from RNAcentral.